CACGUAGUUAGCCGUCCCUUUCUGGUUAGAUACCGUCACACGAGGAGCUUUCCACUCUCCUCGUCGUUCUUCUCUAACAACAGAGUUUUACGAUCCGAAAACCUUCUUCACUCACGCGGCGUUGCUCGGUCAGACUUUCGUCCAUUGCCGAAGAUUCCCUACUGCUGCCUCCCGUAGGAGUUUAGGGCCGUGUCUCAGUCCCAAUGUGGCCGAUCACCCUCUCAGGUCGGCUAUGUAUCAUCGCCUUGGUGAGCCUUUACCUCACCAACUAGCUAAUACAACGCGGGAUCAUCUUUGAGUGAUGCAAUUGCAUCUUUCAAACUUAAAACUUAUGUUUAAAGCUAUUAUGCGGUAUUAGCUAUUCGUUUCCAAAUGUUCGUCCCCCGCUCAAAGGCAGACUUCCCCACGUCCGUUACUCCACCCGUUUCGCUGCUCAUCCAAUCGGUAACAAGUACCAAUCUUCAGCGCUCAACUUGCUAUGGUAUUGGCACGCCGCCAGCGUUCU
Molecule: ribosomal RNA, 505 nt
Filed under: uncultured Lactococcus sp.
Lineage: Bacteria; Bacillati; Bacillota; Bacilli; Lactobacillales; Streptococcaceae
Description: partial 16S ribosomal RNA
Source: RNAcentral